AGUGAACGCUGGCGGUAGGCCUAACACAUGCAAGUCGAACGGCAGCACAGUAAGAGCUUGCUCUUACGGGUGGCGAGUGGCGGACGGGUGAGGAAUACAUCGGAAUCUACUUUUUCGUGGGGGAUAACGUAGGGAAACUUACGCUAAUACCGCAUACGACCUACGGGUGAAAGCAGGGGAUCUUCGGACCUUGCGCGAUUGAAUGAGCCGAUGUCGGAUUAGCUAGUUGGCGGGGUAGAGGCCCACCAAGGCGACGAUCCGUAGCUGGUCUGAGAGGAUGAUCAGCCACACUGGAACUGCGACACGGUCCAGACUCCUACGGGAGGCAGCAGUGGGGAAUAUUGGACAAUGGGCGCAAGCCUGAUCCAGCCAUACCGCGUGGGUGAAGAAGGCCUUCGGGUUGUAAAGCCCUUUUGUUGGGAAAGAAAAGCAGCAGGUUAAUACCCCGCUGUUCUGACGGUACCCAAAGAAUAAGCACCGGCUAACUUCGUG
This 492-nucleotide ribosomal RNA is filed under the name uncultured bacterium. RNAcentral describes it as "partial 16S ribosomal RNA". It matches the Rfam family "Bacterial small subunit ribosomal RNA", at positions 29 to 507 of the family's 1533-position model. The record is from RNAcentral.